GCGGAUGGCUGGAUGACCGCGUGUAUCGUCAGAUAUGCGAGGAAAGUCCGGACUCCAUAAGGCAAGGGUGCCGGGUAACGCCCGGCUGGGGUAACCCAAGGGAAAGCGCCACAGAAAAGAAACUGCCCAGCAUGCUGGGUGAUGGUGAAACGGUGGGGUAAGAGCCCACCGCGGGUCUGGCAACAGAACUGGCACGGCAAGCCCCACCCGGAGCAAUGCCAAAUAGGGGCCUUACGUGGGCUGGUCUGGCA
RNAcentral lists this RNase P RNA (251 nucleotides) under Paracoccaceae bacterium. RNAcentral describes it as "partial RNase P RNA component class A". It matches the Rfam family "Bacterial RNase P class A", at positions 1 to 260 of the family's 367-position model. Rfam says of the family: Ribonuclease P (RNase P) is a ubiquitous endoribonuclease, found in archaea, bacteria and eukarya as well as chloroplasts and mitochondria. The record is from RNAcentral. Lineage: Bacteria; Pseudomonadati; Pseudomonadota; Alphaproteobacteria; Rhodobacterales; Paracoccaceae.